RNAcentral lists this long non-coding RNA (17585 nucleotides) under Marmota monax (woodchuck). The record is from RNAcentral. Lineage: Eukaryota; Metazoa; Chordata; Mammalia; Rodentia; Sciuridae.
AUUUAAAAGGGAGUUCUGUUUUCUCCCAUCCUUCAGGUUAUAUUUGCUUUGGACCAGACCCUCCUGCAGCAGAAGAGCCUGUGAGCAGGCAGCCUAGGACAGGCCUUUUGCUGUGGACCAUCAAGUGGAGCCAAGUGACUUGUCAGAUCUCAGAUGACCUCUAUCAUGAACCAUCUCAUUAUACUCUAUAACUGUGGCGACCUCAGCUCUGUCAUCUUCAGCCAUAGCAGCUCCCAGGUGAGUGGCCUUGCCUUCUGUUGAGAUGAGGAACAAAGAUAUCACCCACAGGCAUCUGGGUGUACUAAGGACAGGUGUCAUGUAGGGCUCUAAAAAUAAAAUUGGCAGAUUUAGAUGUCAUUGAAUGAGAUACUUCAGCUAAUGAGCAUUCUUUUUGAAGCUUCUAAGAAUGGAGAGGGGUAUUAAUCAGGACUAAUUCCAAGAUUGCAGUUACAGGGUGAAGCUUCAGAAGGUUCAGCAGCAGGCCCCAUGAAUCAGCUGUCAGGGAGAGGAAGGGAUCCAAAUCCAUUGGCCUCUUGAUCGACUUGACACUUUUGAGAAAUGAUGGAGCAAAACUUGUGAUCCUCCUGUCUGAGUGUCUGGAGGAGCUGGUAUUACAGGUAUGCACACUGAACCUAGAAUGCUUGUGGAAUUCUUAUGGGGCACUUCCAGUGUUUACAGAUAGAUCAUUCUAUCCUGCAUUAUUACUGAAUAAGUGUGGCCAUGUUGUGGUGGUGUCAGUGUAUGCCUAGGACAGGCCUUUUGCUGAGGACCAUCAAGGGGAGCCAAGUGACUUGUCAGGUCUCAGAGGAUCUCAGCCCCCCAACAGGAGAAAGGUGAGACAGAUGUUUACUAGGCUUUUUGAGCAAGCUGCCAUGGAACUCUGGAACAUUCUCUUCCCCUCUCUUCACCCCCCCCCCCGCCCCAGAAUCUUGUGGAAGUAAGUGGCCAGUGCCAACUCAGCUUCUGAAAUAGUGGAGUGUGUUGUCUCUCCCCUCUAGGACCAGUGUCCUCAUCUCAUGAAAUAUUUGCCCAAGAGAGAGAAAUAGGAAGUAGAGAAAUAAUGAAAAUGUUAAAUGUAUAAAAUUUAUAAAACAGGUAAAUGUUUAUUGAAAUGUUUUUGGAUUCACUAGAGAAAAGAUAGCCUAUUUUCUCUAUGGUGCUGAAAAAAUUGGAUAUACACAUGUAACAAAAUAAAAUUAAACUCCUCUCUCUCAACCUGUGCAAAACUCAACUCAAAGUGGAUCAAAGAGUUAGGCCCUAGACUAGAGACCCUGCACCUACCUAGUAGAAGAAAAAGUAGGCCCAAAUCUUCAAUAUGUUGGCUUAGGAUCUGACUUCCUUAACAAGAUCCCUAAAGUAUAAGAAGGAAAAUCAAGAAUCAAUGAAUGGGAUGGAUUCAAACUAAAAAGCUUCCUCUUAGCAAAGGAAACAACCAAUAACAUGAAGAGAGAGCCUACAGAAUGGGAGAAAAUCUUUAUCACAUGCACCUCAGAUAGAGCAUUAAUCUCCCGGAUAUAUAAAGGACUCAAAAUACUUAACACUAAAAACCCAAAUAACCUAAUCAAUAAAUGGGCUAAGGAACAGAACACACACUUCACAGAAGAAAUACAAUCGAUCAACAAAUAUAUGAAAAAAUGUUCAAUAUCUUUAGCAAUUAGAGAAAUGCAAAUCAGAACUACUCUAAGAUUUCAUUUCCCUGGGUCAAAAUGGCAAUUAUCAAGAAUACAAAUAACAAUAAAUGUUGGCCAGGAUGUGGGGAAAAAGGCCUACUCAUACAUUGCUGGUGAGAAUGCAAAUUGGUACAACCAUUAUGGAAAGUGGUAUGGUUCCUCAGAAAACUUGGAAUAGAACUACCAUUUGAUCCAGCUACCCUGCUUCUUGGUUUAUACCCAAAGGACUUAAAAUCAGCAUAUUACAAUGAUGCAGCCAUAUCAAUGUUCAUAGAAGAUUAACUCACAAUAUCUAAACUAUGCAACGAACCUAGGUGCCCUUCAGUAGAUGAAUGAAUAAAAAAGUGAGUGUGUGUGUGUGUGUGUGUGUGUGUGUAUAUAUAUAUAUAUAUAUAUAUAUAUAUAUAUAUGAAUAAAUAUUACUCAGCCUUAGAUGAAAUUAUGGCAUUUGCUGGUAAAUGGAUGGAACUGGAAAAUAUCACCCUAAGUGAAAUAAACCAAUACCCAAACACCAAAGGCCAAAUGUUUUCUGAUAUGCUGAUGCAUAUCAAUGUGGGGAGCUAAGGAAGAGGAGAGUACUUUAUGUAGAGGGGAAUGAAGGGAGGGGAGUGGAUAUGGGGAUAGAAAGGAUAGUAGAAUGAAUCAGACACUAUUACCCUAUGUACAUAUAUAAUUCUAUAUCAUAUAUAACCAAAAGAAUGAGAAAUUAUACUCCAUUAUAUAUGAUGUAUCAAAAUGCAUUCUACUGUCAUGUAUAACUAAUUAAAACAAAAAUUAGUUUUAAAAAAGAAACACCAUGCUUUGGGUAGUGCAAUCAAAAUUAUUAAUUCUAAGAUAUGUAAUCAUGUAACAUUUCUUUUAUGAAAAAAGUGUGAAUCAAGUUAAAACUGUGCAUGGACUAUACAAAGAUAUGGUCUGUAAUACAUACAUAGCACCAAACACAAUCUUUUAAGUGGAAUGGAAGUAUUAUUUUAAACCUAAGAGUUUUAAGCCUUUUUAUUAUUAUUUUAAGGCUUUUCAGUGAACUUCACUUAAUAUUCUUUCACUUUGGUUAUAGUCAGAAGCGUAGCAGACAGGAGACAUCAAGAAUAGUGUGUCCCCCCUCACCCUUCUCUUAACUUGUCAUCCAGGCUGCAGGAUUAGAUGCUUAAAUGAAGCAACUUUGUUAGUUACCCUGUUGCCCUUGUUUUCUUUUUCUUUUUCUUGUGGUAGAGGUUUCCAAUUUCAUAAAUGCCAUGCUCCAGCCUCAGGAACACAUCACUGCUCAGGAGAUCAACAGCCACUUCUGUCAAGAGCUGAUCUACAAGUGGAAUGAGAGAAUGGAGGAGCAAGGGAAGGCACUUUCGGAGGAGUUCCCUGACAAGGGCUUUUUCUUUGUUUUCCGAGCUGGCAGCCUCUGAUUAGAUACUCUGGGAUCUGCCGCCUCUGUGGGGGGAAUGUUGAGGCAAAGCCCCUACUCAGGACCUGUGUUGACAUCAGUAGUGACUCACUUCAGUUGCAGAGUAGCUCCAGCUGGUGCUGGGAAUCCAAUGUGGUGGAAAUGUUGCUGGAGGGCCCAGUGUAUGUGACAUUAUUCAUUGCUUUCCCUCCACACAGGGGCUUAGUGACAUAUGAGUCAGUUGGGAAGGCAUCUCUCUGUCCUGAACUCAGCACUCAAUCCCAGCUUCUUUCUGAUACCUUUUGUUUUUUAAACUGUCACUAAUGUUUGUUUAUCUUCAUUCCCCUUCCUGUGAGCCUCCCAAUGUUAGGUUGACACAUAAGCCAUUGAUAAAUAUUAAUAUACACAUGGAGGGGGGGAAAUUAUUUCCUUUUCUGGGCUUUUUGAAAUAAUUUCUAUCCUGCUUUUGAGUGAUUUUUAACCCAUAAUUCUUUGGAGCCUGAGAAAUGAAGGACAGAAAAGCCAGAGGCUGGGCAGUGUGCAGAAGGACUAGGUUUUGUCCUUUCAGAUCCUUCCACUGUUUUUGUGUGUCAGUCAGCUUCCCAUUGCUGUAACAAAUGCCUGAGACAAAUCAAAAGAAUUAUUUGAUUCACAAUUUCAAAGGUUUCGGUCCAUGAUUACUUGGCUUACUUGCUUUUAGGCCUGUGGUGAGACAGUAUAUCAUGUAUGGCAGACAUACGUGGUGGAGGAAACUGCUCACCUCAUGACAGCUGGUAGGAAAAUAGAAAGAGGAAGAGUGUAGGGUCCCAGUAUUUCCCCUAAUGAAAACCCCAAUGACCUAACUUCCGUUUACUGGGCCCCACCUCUUAAAGAGUCCAACCUCCUCUCAGUGGUGUCACCUACUGGGGACAACACAUAAGCCUUUGGGGCACAUUUAAGAUCCAAACCAUAACUCUUCAUUAAUUUGGACAAGUCACCUUUCUCAGUUUCUUUACCAGCAAAAUGUGAGUUUAGAGAUUAACACUUGCAGAAUAACAGAGUAAAGGCUGCUCCAAACAUGCUCCUCCAUAAAAGGCAAUAAGAACACUAGGAAAAAAUGGUCAAUAUCAACUUUUACAGAGCUCUAGAAAUUAAAUAAAGGCUUGAAACAGCCCAGGGUAUGUUUACUUAAGAAAACUAGAGAUUAGUGGCAUUUAACUUGCUCUAUUUUAUCCUCUUUGUCCCAGCUUCUUCCUAGCUUUGUCUUGAAAAUCCACAACCUUUAAACUCAGAAGCCAUAACAACUGGUUGCUUAAUAAUUACUGGAGGGGAGAUAAUGGGUUUGGAGUUUCCCUGAGGCUCCAUCCUUGAAGAAUCAUUAUUAUUUAAUUUAUCUCAUAGUUCCCUAAAAGUUUCAUUCCAAGCUUAUGUUCAUUUGACCUGACUCAAAGCUCUUUCUCUACAUAGCCAUAUUCUUAGGGGGUUUGUUGAAAAUAGUCAGUGGUAGUGGCAGUAGUCAUAGCUGCCCAUGACAGCAAUAAUUGGGGCUUACAACAGACUGACCUCCCCCCCCGCAAAGAAAAAGCAAAAUGGAUAUGAGAUGUACCAUAUGGGAUUUUGAAAAGUUCUCACAUAUUAUUGGGAAUCUCAAGGGCCAAGUGUAAGAGAAAGGCUAUGUACAUGCCCAGGAAAGACCUCAGAAGGUCCUAAUCUCUCACGUCUGUCUGCACAGAAGAAAAACUAAGGCAGGGUUGUAAACUGCCUGCUGGAGCAUUGAAGGCAUGCUCCAAACUCAUAUAGCCUCUCUUUGAAGAGGCUGGGAGACUUACUGGUUGAAUAUGUUUAAGGAAAUCUCUGAACAGUCAUUAGCUGACCACUAAACUAACUGACUAGAGACUCCAGUGGCCACACCUAUCAAAGAAUCCUGACUUUACAGAAAGUCCUAAGUGACUAAACAAACAAACAAACAAAUGGCAAAAUAAAAAUAACAACAGCAGAUAAACAAUGAUGUACCCUGGGAAGAAGGGUUGGCUUCAUCUAAGUUCCCAGAUUUGUGGAUCUAAAGUUGUUCAUCAUAUUCUUUUAUUAUCCUUUUACUAUUCCUGGGAUCAGUAGUGAUGAUUCCUCUUUUACUUCCAAUAUUAGCAAUUUGUGUCUUCUCUCUUCCCCUUGUUAGCCUGACUAGAGGUUUAUUAAUUAUAUUGAUCUUUUCAAAGAACCAGUUUUUGGUUUUGUUGACUUUCUGUAUUGAUUUCAUGGUUUUAUUUUCAUGAUUACUGCUUUAAUUUUUCUUAUUUCCUUUCUGCUUGAUUUAUCCUUAAAUUACUCUUCUUUCUGUAGUUUUUGAAGGUGAAACUAGAGUUUUGAGAUGAAUCUUGAUCCACUGCUUCUGCUGCCAGGUGGGGUCUGCACAAGCUGUAGGCCCCUGCGGCCUAGAAGUGUUGCAGUUCUUAAUGGUGGGCCAUGCCCUCCAAUGUUGCAGCAGACCCCAGCAGUUCAUCAUCUAUUUCUUCUUCUUUCAGGGUUCUUGUCUCGUGAAUUUGAAGAAUGAAUGCCACUGAUCAGGACGAGUGAGUGUAAUGUAGGAACAGCACUCUUGCAGUGCAAGGGGGGACCCAAUAGCAGGUGUUCUCUACUGGAGUGUGCUAGUGUAGGGGUUUGUAUAGCACUUGAUUCAGUGCUAUUAGUCCAAACUUAUGCUAAUUAGGACUUGGAAACAUAGUAACACUAUUGGUCAAUUUUUUUUUUAAAUAUUUAUUUUUUAGUUUUCGGUGGACACAACAUCUUUGUUUGUAUGUGGUGCUGAGGAUCGAACCCGGGCCGCACGCAUGCCAGGCGAGCGCACUACCGCCUGAGCCAUAUCCUCAGCCCACUAUUGGUCAUUUUUUGAGUCCCAACUUCCAUUCAAGUUUGCCCAUUUCCAUUUUUUUGUGGCAGGUCAGGGAACGGGAUUUUAAGGCUCUGAGAUGGGGCUGCAGCACCUCACAGAGUGUUCUUCUGCAGCAUCCUCACUGUGUGCGGCCAUGCUGAUGCUGGGGUGACAGGUCAGCGUGGCUUGGCUCAUCUUGGUGCUGGCUCAUUGCACCUCAGGUCUACCCUGCCUAUAUGAUGGGCUCCAUGCUGCUACUGUGCUGCUCCAUACUCCACUGCCACUUUUUGGCAGAGACCAAUAGGCUGGCUGCACUGCAUGGCAGCCAGGGAGCUCUGUCAAAGGUACAAACUUAUAUUUGUCCAUUGUCAACCAACACUGGCUUCAUGAAUGAAGGUUCAAAACGUGAGAAAUCUCUAAGGAGUUUUGAAUUAAAGAGACAAGACUCUAAUUACCUUUAAACCAGCUCCAGGAUGGCUCCUCCUAGGUCCAGCCUUCAGCCACCCAUUGUGGUAGCGAGGUUUACUAAAGAGGGGGGAGAGAGAGAGAGAGAGAGAGAGAGAGAGAGAGAGAGAGAGAGAGAGAGAGAGAGAGAGAACACGCCAUGGAGUGGACUUUUAUUGGGGAACAAAAAAUUCUGGGGAAAAUCCCAUCCAAUGAAGAUUAAGGGGGGCCGCAUCCCAAGGUCAGGGGCAAUGAUUGGGUCUUCAGGGUAGUGGCCAGACAUGCCUCCGAACAGACAAGCCUUCGGAACCUGAGAAGGAUGGGGAAAGCUUUGGACAUAGCUGUGCCUAAGCGCCUCUCACCCAGCCAGGGAGGUAACUCAAAUCACGUGCGAGGAUGGCCUCCCACACUUGAAGAUAUUGGUGGUAUUAUAGCAACUUAUAUCUCUCAAAAUUCUUUUCUGUGUGGGUUCUCUCCUCAAGGUAACACAUUUUAUAAGAUUAUAUCACUUUAUUUUUAUUAGUCAUUUUUUUUUUUUUUUUGCAGUGCUGAGGGUUGAACCAGUGGUGCUCUACCACAGAGUCUUGUCCCCAAAUCUUUUAAUUUAUUUCUUUUUUAUUUGGAGACUGGGUCUUGCCAGGUUGUCCAAGCUAGCCUUGAAUUAAAAAGGAAGAAAGCCAUUUUCCCCCCUCUGUCAAAUCUCUUUAUGAAGAUAAGAAAAAACAUCUCAGGGAUGAAAGAAUUUCCUUUAUGUUUUUAAAAGAAUAGAGAAAUGACUUGUCUGCCCUUUCAGAAGCUGGGAGAGUUUCUUGUUGUUCUCCAUAGAUGUCACCAAACUAUCUUUGUGAGUAGGUAUAGGCAUUAGCACAUGUCACCUGUUCAGUUCAGGCACAGAGUUGUAGGUGUCUCAUGAGAUUGGCCUGUAGCAGAGAGUUAAGGGUGUAGGGUUUGGGGCUGGGGUUGUGGCUCAGUGGUAGAGUGCUUGCCUAGCACACAUGAGGUGCUGGAUUCAAUCCUCAGUAUCACAUUAAAACAAAAAAAAACUAAAUAAACAAAAUAAAGCUAUUGUGAACAUCUACAACUAAAAUUUUUUUUAAAAGCAUGUGGAGUUUGGAGUGGGAUUGCCUGUAUGUAAAUCCCAGCUCUGCCAUUGUAGCUGUGCAACCUUGGCCAACAAGCCUCCUACCUCCUAGUGCCUUAGUUCUCUUGACUGUAAAAUGGGGUGGCACGUGGAAUCCAUGUCGUAAAGUUGUCAGAAUUAAAGUCUUGUGUGAAUUUCCCUCUAAACAUUGUUCUUGCUGCUUCCUGCAAAUUUUAAUGUUUUAUUUCCACUUUCAUUUAGUUUAAUCUUCUCUAAAGUUUCAGGAAACUUCUUUAAUCAAUGUUCUAUUUUAAAAUGUACUGUUUAAUCUUUAUGUAUUUGGGGUUUGAGGGGUACCUUUGUGUUAUCAAUUUCUAGUUUAGUUUAAUUGCCUGAGAGCUUAUGUUGUAAGAUUUCUAUUCUUUUAAAUCUGCUGAGGCAUGUUUUAUGACCCAGAAUAUAGUCUAUCUUGGUGAAUAUUCCACCUGAGUAGAAUAGAGUAUGUUUUCUUCCAUUGUUGGAUGAAGUAUUUUAUAAAUUUUAGAUCCAUUUCAUUGACAAUGCUUUUCAGUUCAGCCAUAUUCCUAUUUGAUCAUUCAAGAAUCUUUAUCAUGUCUGAGUCUGAUGCUUACUUUGUUUCUUUAGACUGUUAUUUUUCUCAUUUUUUAGCGUAAUUUUACAUUUUUAUUGAAAGCUGGACAUGAAUCUGGUAAUGAGAACUACGGUAAAUACUAUUAUGUGCUGCAUGACAAUGUUUCUGUUAGUGAUAAUGUUAUGGCUUAGAUAUUAGUUGUCCUCCAAAAGCUCACAUGUGAGACAAUGCAAGAACAUUCAGAGGUGAAAUGAUCAGGCUACGAGAGCCUUAACCCAAUCAGUGAAUUAGUCUCCUGAUGGGAUUAACUGAGUGAGUGGUAACUGAAGGUGGAUGGGGUGUGGCUGGAGAAGGUGCUUGGUGGUGUGCUUUUGGGGUAUAUAUUUUGUAUCUAGCAAGUGGAGUCUCUCUCUCUCUCUGCUUCUUGAUUAUCAUGUGAGCUGCUUCCUUCUGUCAUAUUCUUCUGCCAUGGUGUCCUACUUCACUGUGAGUCCCAAGGAAUGAAGCUAGCUGUCUGUGGACUGAGUUCUGAAACUGUGAGCCCCCAAAUAAAUAUCCCUCCUCUAAAAUUGUUCUUGUCAGGUCUUUUAGUCAUAGUAACAAAAAAGCUAAUACAGGUAGACUGUGUAUACAAUGGUGGACUAAUUAGAUUGUAUCAUCUAGAGACAUCAUAGAUAUCUUAAUUUGUCUAAGUACUCUAUAUGUUCUCACAUAGAGUAAAAAAAUCACUGAAUUGUAUGCUUUAAAAGAAUAGAUCUUAAAAUUGUGAUCUAUAUGUGUAAUAUGAAUUGUAAUGAAUUCUGCCAUUAUAACAAAUUAAAAUAAAAAAUAGAAUUUCACGUAAAAAUAAUAGAUCUUACUUUAUGUAAUUGUUUGAAUAAAACUGUUAUAAAAAAUGAGAGGUUUGUCUUCUAUACCUUAUUGAUUGAAGAAUUCUGCCACAAAACAAAUUGCUGUUUCUGCCUUUCAUGGUGCCUCUCAAAUCUGUGUGAGUGGUUUCCCUCUUCUAUAAGUCUUAAGUUUCAUAUUUGGAUUGUUACACUAUGUCCAACUCCUUCCUGUCUCAACAAAUGACUUUUUCAAACAAAGCUGUUAGCCAGGGUUUUGCUCUUUAGGUACCCGACAGUGGUGUUUCCCCUGGCUUGUUCCCUGGUGUGAACAUUAGGAAACAGCUUUGUCUUACUAAAGUACACAUCUGGGUAGCAGAGAUACAAAGUGCCUGGGCACUGGAGCCUUUACCUUCUACUCUUGCCAGACUCAGUUAAUUUCCCAAGAGCUUCCCCUGCAUCCAGUAAUACAUUAAUGGGGUGCUCAAUGGAGGGUUAAGUUAGAUGUGUGUUCUGGGCAGGUGGGAGGCUAGACAGCAUAUUUUGAUCUGGGUAGUUUAGUGGGUGGGCCUUUGGAUAAGGUUUGUGCUGGUGCAGAUGGUGUGAAGUGACAUUGUAACACCUGGACUUCUCUGAUUCUAAGGAUACAAUUUAUGAUUCUAAUGUAUCCCCGAAUGGAACUCUCAUAGCCCCUGGGCACCCGGGUGUCAGGGUUCUUUCUAGAAUGAUUAUUUUUUGUGGCUUCUUUCUCCCUGUGCCUUCUCAGGUGGGGUUGCUGACACCCUUACCUCCAGCAUUUUAAAAUUUAAAAAGCUGGAUUUGGGAUACUUUCCUAAAAUCCAUGAGGCCCUGGAUUCAAUCCCCAGCAAUACCUCCCCGCCCCAAAAAAAAAAAAAUCAGUGUGGUUAAGAAAAUACUUGAUUGCAAAAUGAGGAUAACCAAAAACUGAAAGUACUGAAGCUUUAAUAUCAAACAGUAGCUUUUGUCAUUGGGAUCUGGAGACAAAGUAUGAAGAAAUGGAGCUCACCUUUGGAAAAGUCAAGGGUGCUCAGCAGAAGCUGUAAUCACUUGUUCCAAUUGCCAUUUCCUCAUUCUUAAGUAAAUAAAUAAAAUACUAUGAGUGAUUAAAGACAAGUUCUUUUUUUUCUUAUUUAGAUGUUGUGUUGAUCUUAAAUCAGCUCAUGCUAACUUUUGGGCUCCUGGUUUGCCAGGGUUACCUUGCCAGUGGUGAUAGCUUCUCCCCACUCCCAAUUAUUAGGUCUGUUUCUGGUUAGAGUUGGUCUAGGCUGCAGGCAGAAGAGGGAUGGGAGCUAAUGGUUUUACUAAAAAGAUCAUUGGAGCGGGAAUCCUCAAAGGAAGGCCUAGAGUGAGGGGUACCCUAGGACACAGUGGUUGCCAAGAAACAUCACAUAUGGAGCCAGAUACCCCUUCCCUGCAUGAGGAUUUCCAUAAGUGAAACUAGGAACCAGGGCUUCUGUGUUCCUUCUGCUUGAUCUUGCUAUUAUUUGUGAUGGUGCUGUAGGCUCCUGGGAUCCCUGACUGUGGCUCCUAAACUAUAAUGCCUCCUGUCCUAUGCAGAAACAUCUAAAAAGAGAAUUUCUCAGACUAGGUUGCUUUUGUUGGAAAGUGAUGAUUGGGUACUAAGCACUCAUUCAAUCCCACCAGCCUGCUUUCUUCCCCAGGGAGCACCUUUGCAUUUCUCCAUAGGUGGAAACUUUCUCAUUUUCCCCAGACCAGCUCCCAUCCUGCGCAAAUGUCACCUCCGCUGGGAAGUCUUACUACAUUGGGAGUUUGAUGUUCAGGUUCUUUCUAUCCUUAGCUGUGGGACUGAAUGAGUGCUUACUCAUUCAGUAACUCCAGGCAAACUCUCCCGUUGCUCUCAUUUUCAGUGUCCUCAUCUCCAGUGAAAGUGGGAAAUGGAAAGAGCAUUUCUGAGGCCUCUAGGACCCUGGGCAACCUUCCCUCCACAUUGCCUCCCCCCCUAUGCAGCUCUGAUCUUACAUUGCUCUGAUCUUCAGUGUCUUCAUCUCUGAAACACACUUAUCAUGCCCUGCCUGCCUGCCUUGUAGGGCUGUCAUGAGGCCCAAUUUUAGAACCUCUCUGAAACUGUACUGUGCUGCACAGUUGGGAAAGGGAUAGGCAGGAUGAUUUCUUUGUUCUUGGGUGUGUGAUUGGGGAGUAUAUUGGGUGGUCCUGAGAACUAUAGUGUUUCUGCUCAUUUUUCUCACUGUAGGCUGUUUUAUGGGCAACAACAUAGUGCUGGAUGUGUUGCAUUGCAAAGGCCGUGAGAACAUGCCCAGGCUAGAUGUCCCAUCAACAAUUGGUUGUAUCUGGGUAGACAGCAGCAAGGGGACUGGCUGCCUGGGCACCAGGGUGGCUGUUAUCUUCAGAGGCUCCAGAGGACCACAGCAUGGUCAUUUCCUUGGGGCCCAGGAGAAUAGUCAUUAGAUGGACACUGAUGGACAUUAGAUGGCUGGGGUUGUAUCAGACGUGGGUGACUGGGUGGGUACUUGGGACUGCUGAGGGUGCUGUGAACUCUUUCUUAGCAGCAUUUAGGGGGAAGGGAACGUGGAGGGAAGGUUGCCCAGGGUCCUGGAGGCCUCAGGGAUUAAUGCUCUUUCCAUUUCCCAUUUUCCACAAGACACUUGGCUUCUUCCAGAAAAAACUCCUUGGGAUUUGUUGUUCUCCAUUACCAUGGCCAUGGCUCAUUCCAGGCGUUUCUCUUUCUGAUUCAUUCUUUACCAUUCUGUGGGACUAAUCUUUCAAGUAUCCUCUACUCAGAACCUUCCAAGAUUACUUGUUCUCUUUAAAAGUCCAGUGUUUUGGCAUUCAAAUCUCUUUUCUAGGAUUACCACUUGCAUCAGAAAAUCUUCUAUUCCUGCUAUGUUACUGCCUUUGCUACUGCUGCUUUCCCUGACUAAAGUGCCAUCCCUCCCUGAGUCAGCUCUACUGUCUGCCCAGCCACUCUCCUGCCUGUUCUUUUCUCAGAUCUGGAGGGAAAGCCCUGCCAUGAGUGGUUCUCUGCUUGGGGCAGGGAGAUUGUGGGUCUCCAUCUGUUGGAUUGACUUCCAGGAAAGCUGGGGUGCUGACUGAGCUGGGGCUUGACAGCUAUCCCUUCGGGGUACUAGAGAGGACUUGCUCGGGGAGUGUGUGUGUGGUGUGCAUGUGUGGUCUGUUGUGUGAUGGAUAGUAUGUGUGGAGUGCACAUAUGUGGUGUACAUGGUGUGUAUGUGUGUGUGUGUGUGUGUGUUCUGUGUCUUGUUAGUUGUCUAAUUCUGCCUCUAACCCUGAUAUCAGCCCCUGGUGAAAGGAAGGUGAGGAAACAGUAUUUAUUUAUUAAUAGAUUCUGUUUUGGUGCAGUCACUCUGGAAAGCAGUAUGUAUAUUUCUCAGAAAACUUGGAAUGCAACUACCAUUUGACCCAGCUAUUUUAGUUAUAUUUGACAGCAGAAUAUAUUUUGAUAUAAUUAUAUAAUCAUGGAAUGUAUUUUAUUCAAGUUAGGAUUCCAUCGUUAUGGAUGUACAUGAUGGUGUGAUGGUGGGAUUCACUGUGUUGUUUUCAUAUAUGUACGUGGGAAAAUUAUGUAAGAUCCAUUCCACUGUCUUUUCUUUUCCUAUCCCCCCUUCCUUCUUUCAUUUCCCCAUUGUCUAAUCUACUGCACUUCUAUUCUUCCCCUCACCCACCCAUAUUUUGUGUUAUCUUCCACAUAUCAAAGAAAGCAUUCAACCUUUGAUUUUUGGGGGAUUGGCUUAUUUCAGUUAGCAUGAUAGUCUCUAUAUCCAUCUACUUGCUGACAAAUAUAAUAAGGUCAUUCUUCUUUAUGGCCAAGUAAUACUCCAGUGUGUGUGUGUGUGUGUGUGUGUGUGUGUGAAUCACAUUUUCUUUAUCCAAUCACUUAUUGAAGGGAACUUAUUGGUUUCAUAGUUUAGCUAUUGUGAAUUGAGCUGCUAUAAACAUUGAUAUGAUCCUGUCACUGUAGAAUGCUGAUUUUUAAAUGUUUUGGAUAUACUCCAAGGAGUGGGAUAGCUGGGUCAAAUGGUGGUUCCAUUCCAAGUUUUCUGAGGAAUCUACAUACUGCUUUCCAGAGUGACUGCACCAAUUUGCAGUCCCACCAACAAUGUAUGAUGUACCUUUUUCCGCACAUCUCACCAACAUUUAUUGUUACUUAUAUUCUUGAUGAUUGCCAUUCUGACUGAAGCAAGAAUCUCAAUGUAGUUUUGAUUUGCAUUUCUCUAAUUGCUAGAGAUGUUGAACAUUUUUUUCACAUAUUUGUUGACUAAUUAUAUUUCUUCUUCUGUGAAGUGUCUGUCGCAGUAGAAUGAAAUUUAGCUCCUGUUUUCACCCUGCACAAAACUCUGCUCAAAGUGGAUCAAGGACCUAGGUAUUAGACCAGAAACCCUGUAUAUACAAGAAGAAAAUGUAGGCCCAACACUCUAACAUAUCAUCUCAGGAACUGAUUUCCUUAAUAAGACUCCUAAAGUGCAAGAAGUAAAAUCAAGAAUCAAUAAAUGGGCAAUAAAUGGAUGGCAUCAAACUAAAAGCUGCUUCACAGCAGAGGAACAAACAAAAGUGUGAAGAGCCUACACAAUAGGAGAAAAUCUUUGCCACCUGCUCCUCACAUAGAGCAUUAGUUUCAGGGAUAAAGAACUAAAAAACUUAACACCAAAAUAAACAAACAACCCCACAAAUAACCCAACCAAUAAAUGGGCAAAGGAACUGAACAGACACUUCACAGAAUGAAACUAUUUAAAAAAGUUCUCCAGGAGAUUGUGAUGCACAGAGAGGGCUGGGAAUCUGUUCUCUCAUCAAGCUGAGAUGCUCACAUUUUUCAGUAGAGAAAAAGAACAUUUAUUGAUGGAUUAUCAGGUGGUAGUCAGGUUCUUGUAGACUCUUGCUUAAUUUUCAAAACCAGCUGCUAGGUGGAAAUUUCUAUUUAAUGACGAAAACACUGUGAAAGGUCACACAGCUAGUCAGAGCCAGGAUAGAAGUCAGACCCCUUCACCUCCAAAACCCUCUCUUUUUGCCCUUUCUCCCAUCUUUUAGUUUCCAGCCUUUUCACCAUUGUUCAUGUAUUUUCCUCUGCUAGGGAUUCAUUCACUAUCUCCAAUCCCAGUUCUUGCUAUUGGAAUCUGUGACUUCAGCGUAUACACCACAUCCUCUGCUCCUACAGCCUGGGGUCACCCUCUUCAUGAUCCUAAGUUAUUUGGUUUGUGCUUCUGUAUGGCUUUGAGUAAGAGCUCUCUUUUUCUUCUAGAGCCUUCAGGAUAAGUAUCUAUUUUUUUUCCCAAAACUAAGUUCUCAAAAGUCUCUAUCCUGGCACUUGGCAUAAAGUAGGUCUCAACUAGAGUUGGUUGAUUUGUAAAUAUUAUUAUUAUUGUGAUAACCCAUGGGCACUCAUUUAGCCAGUGGCGGUAUAUGAGAGAUUUUAGUGAUCAACUUGAUAAUUGUGGUCCUUUGAGGCAAAGGUGGAUAAAAUCUCCAAAGGAGCAUCAGAGAGAAGGGGCCAAUGGGGAAGGGUUAAGGGCCAGAGUAGAAAAACUGUGUGCUUAGCACUGAUUGAAACAUAGUGCAUAGGUUGUCUGAUCCUCACAGGUGAGAUAGGUCAACUUUACCCAAGUGUCAGAAACUCAGAAAGGUUAAUAGUCUCAUCCAAAGCUCCAAGCCUGGGCUUUUUUCUAGAUACCACAUUCUUUAAAUUCUCCAAAUCUUGGAGAGCCUUGGGUAGGGCACCCUCCCUCUGCAGGCCCAGUUUCUUUGUUGCUACAAUGAAGGAUUCAUCUAAAUGGUGUCGCAGUGUGUGCCAGGCAUUAUGCUAAGGAGAGUAAUGACUAUAAUAGUUCAUGUCCUCUAGAAACCUUCUAGCUGUGACUUUAUGUUUAUGAGGUCCUCAGUCUCAGAAUCAGAGUAAGAGUAGUGGCCUUUUGUUUUCUUUCUCUUCCAUUUGAGGAAUUACUUUUUUUUUUUUUUUUUUUUUACCUUGUAUAGGUCUUUCCCUUGUUUACUUCUCUUAUACCUCUUCCCUUUUUCACACAAUUAAUAGAUUAAUAGUAACUGACCUGUGAGGUUCUGCCAGGUUGUUAGUCAGAGCUGAGGCCAGCUUCUGGCAGGCAGACAUUUCAUCAAGGUUGAAUCAAGAGCAGAGUAAAUGAUUUCUUAUAUGCUGGUUGUCUGCACCCACAUCACUGGGGAAGGAAAGUCCCCCUGCUCCCCUUUUAGGCAGAUAGAUGUGAGCAUAAAAUCCCUCAUGGCCUACAUCAGGAGAUAAUGAGUAGAAUUCUUCUCUUAUGGCACUCUUCUUCUAUCCCCCAACUAAAUCCUUGAUAAAAGUCCUACUGUAGGAAGAAACUUGGCCCUUCUGAUGGCUUAAUUUUUUUCACUGAAAGUGGUGUUUGAGGACUAUAAUUACCUUUAGGGGAAAACUAGAAGCAAGUCUGAGUUUCCCAUAAGUUGUAAAAAUAUAUGUUACCUUUGGGAGAGAUGGUUUAAAGGCAGACCUGGUGAGAAGUGUUAGAGGCCAGCCCUAUGAGCCAGCACAUCAUAUGAGGAUCGGGUAGCCACCAAGGGACAGAGAACCUAUUUCUAUUCCAAUAUAACCUCUCAAAAGAAUACAAGAGGGUUAAGGGUCACUUUUUUUUAAAAGCAAAUGGCACUUAAACAGUUUAUCUUUAAAUGCUAUAAUCUUCAUUGACUUUCUAGACAGUACUUACGUAUUCAUGGUUGGGAAAGUGCAGUAAUUAUAUACAGUAAAAAAAAAAAAAAUCUUUGGGUUUUCUCCCAAAGGACAGGAGAUUUUGAGAGAACAGGGUGAGGAUAUGUGGAGGGGAAAUAAAGGUGUCAAAAUGACCAAUUUUCCAGGUGGCUUUGUGAACAAGGUGUUCUUGGCAGGAUCAUGAGGUCCUGAGCCACAGGAGCAGGAAGGACCAUGCUAUACAGCCCUCCCCUUCCACCCUAGUUUACAUAGAGGAGUAAGAGCCCAUCUCACACUGGCUCCAUUGGACAUCUUUGCCUUGGAAGUGCCAGUCUUGGCAGCACUGGCACUGGAAGCCCUGUCUGUGACUCGCUGCCCCAUGAGCCCUUGCCUGAAAGUGCCAACCAACUAGACUAGUCGGGACAAAAGUUCAGGAAGAAGCGGAGGUGCCUGGUACUGAGGCAGUGGUUCAACCUGUGGGUCUUCCUGGAAGAGAGGUGAGACAGAUGGGCAGAGCCUUGCUGGCAUCUCUCCUUCCCCUGAAAUAUGGGUGGUGAGCAGACCCAGGUGACUCUUAAACUGAGAGGGCUGGGAAUUGCCCAAUCAGGGAGCAGCCUUUCCCAGUCAUUUCUCUUCUGCCUGUGCUAUGAUGUGAAUCCAGAUUUAAGGUUGCUGCUUCAAGCCAAGGCAAGGGCCACAUGUUUAUGUUUGUGAAAGAACAAAUGUGGGGGCUGGGGUUGUGGCUCAGUGGUAGAGUGCUCGCCCAGCAUGUGCGAGGCACUGGGUUCAAUUUUUAGCACCACAUAUAAAUAAAUAAAUAAAAUAAAGGUCCAUCGACAUCUUAAAAAAAAAACAACAACAACAAAUGUGGGGGUAAAGGUAGAUCUUUUUUAAAGUAGAAUGAAGGUUGUGAAGAAUUUAAUUUUCCAGCCCUUUCUCCUAGCAGAUCUGGGAGAAUUUUGUAGUUUUGCAGAGCUAGAAUCAACUCUGUAGGAAAGGGCUUGUUUUCUGAGAGUGGUUAAACACAAGAUGCCCUCUGAGGGCUAAUGUGUGGAUCAGAGUUGGAUAGAAAAUUGUGGUUCUGCAGGGCAUAAAGCUUAUAGAAAGGCUGGGAUCCACAAUCCAGUUAAAAUAAACCCAAGCUCAUUGAGUUCCUCCUAAGUCUGCUGUUGUAGUGGUGCUAUUUGUCGGGUGAAACACAUAGACAUUGAUCUCUGCCUUCAAGGAGCUCACAGUAUGCACAUGAAGCUAGAUUUUGAGUAAAUGAUCUGCAAAGAAAGUGUAGGUGCUGUGGGCGUGUGUGUACUGUGUAUAUGAGUGGGGAGUGUGACCAGGAGGAGCCUGCCUGAAAUAAUCCUUGAAUCAAGAGUCAAAUGGUGUGUAUAUAGUGUGGGGGUAAUUGGCAAGACUGCUAAAGUCCUCUGUCACUUGGUUUUCUGGGAGUAGUGGCCAAAGUCACAAAAUAGGGCCAAAGAUAUAGGCAGCCUGUCCAUAUACUAAUAUCUAUUCCUGCCUUUAAAGGGGGGAAAUGAAAAACCCAGGGGAUGUUUGGGGGAAUUGGAGUAUAUAUUAGGCUUUUGCUGUGCCCUGAGAUUCUGUAUUUCUCUUGAAUUCCUAGUGCUAUGGCCCCACAACUCCAGGUCCCUGUCCUGGACAGGCAUAUCUCUGCUGAAUUGUGGCUCCCUCACCACAGACAUUCCCACCACAGCCAGAUGGUGGCCAGUACCACCUGCCUGUCUCUCUGGACUUCUGUGUUCUUGGGACUGGUGGUUGCUUUCCCAACAGAGACAUCCCUCUUGUAGCAACUGGAGGAGCCAGGCCAAGACCUUACUUAAAGGAUUGCCAUUCCCGCAUUCCACACUUUGGUCUGGUCUUGAUAAGCCCAACCCAGGAGAGAAGACAUCUGAAGAAGAAGCCCAGUGGUGAUUCUUCUCUUCCUAACAAAUGACCUGGGUUAUCCAACAGUGUUGGGAGGAGAUGUACAGUUUUGUAACAUAAUGAGUUGGAUGAAAAUAAAUUGUAAAUGAAUGGUAUGAAAUAACUAAAUACUGGUUUUG